This is a long non-coding RNA of Anguilla anguilla (European eel), 600 nucleotides long. RefSeq lists it as uncharacterized. The transcript is spliced from 5 exons. Lineage: Eukaryota; Metazoa; Chordata; Actinopteri; Anguilliformes; Anguillidae. The record is from RefSeq and is a predicted model, not a curated record.
GCGAAAGAGGAAAACGGAGGAAGAAAUUCCGAGAACUCCGUGUGGGAGUGUGCUACAGACCCACUGAUCGAAGAUGCUGGGCUGUGGAUGUGUGUUGGUCUCCUAUCUCCUUACUCUAUUCCUCAGCAGUUCCGAUGGCCUCCAAGCAACCCCAGUGACCUCCAAGUGUCCAGACUUGGCGGUGGCAGAGGACUCUCACUCAUGGAGGCCGUCUGGGGAGAGAUUAGCCAGCAGGCCGACAGGCAAACUCCCAUCCCUGGACCAGACGGGGAACACGAUCCAGACCAAGAGGAAGAGGCUGUUCCCAGGGGCUAAUGCCCCGCUAGACCGCCUGUCUGUCGGCAAUAUGGACAUUAAGGGUAAAAAGAGGAAGGAGGUGGAAUCGCCAAGGAGGCGAGUGAGCGCCCCCAUCGACAGAAUUGGGAUGGGAAGAUUCCCCAGCAGACUGGGCUGAGACGCGCCCUGCCGCCCCCUACAGGGUGGGCCUUUACGAGUGGACAAGAGAUAAAGGACUACACUCUCGCACAAAAUAACUAAUUCACACAAACCCACUCCCACUCCACUCACACACCAACACACAAACCCACUCCCACUCCACUC